This 911-nucleotide ribosomal RNA is filed under the name Curvularia nodulosa. Its description in RNAcentral is "LSU rRNA". It matches the Rfam family "Eukaryotic large subunit ribosomal RNA", at positions 38 to 966 of the family's 3401-position model. The record is from RNAcentral. Lineage: Eukaryota; Fungi; Ascomycota; Dothideomycetes; Pleosporales; Pleosporaceae.
GCAUAUCAAUAAGCGGAGGAAAAGAAACCAACAGGGGAUUGCCCUAGUAACGGCGAGUGAAGCGGCAACAGCUCAAAUUUGAAAUCUGGCUCUUUCAGAGUCCGAGUUGUAAUUUGCAGAGGGCGCUUUGGCUUUGGCAGCGGUCCAAGUUCCUUGGAACAGGACGUCACAGAGGGUGAGAAUCCCGUACGUGGUCGCUAGCUAUUGCCGUGUAAAGCCCCUUCGACGAGUCGAGUUGUUUGGGAAUGCAGCUCUAAAUGGGAGGUAAAUUUCUUCUAAAGCUAAAUACUGGCCAGAGACCGAUAGCGCACAAGUAGAGUGAUCGAAAGAUGAAAAGCACUUUGGAAAGAGAGUCAAACAGCACGUGAAAUUGUUGAAAGGGAAGCGCUUGCAGCCAGACUUGCUUGCAGUUGCUCAUCCGGGCUUUUGCCCGGUGCACUCUUCUGUAGGCAGGCCAGCAUCAGUUUGGGCGGUGGGAUAAAGGUCUCUGUCACGUACCUCCUUUCGGGGAGGCCUUAUAGGGGAGACGACAUACCACCAGCCUGGACUGAGGUCCGCGCAUCUGCUAGGAUGCUGGCGUAAUGGCUGUAAGCGGCCCGUCUUGAAACACGGACCAAGGAGUCUAACAUCUAUGCGAGUGUUUGGGUGUCAAGCCCGAGCGCGUAAUGAAAGUGAACGGAGGUGGGAACCCGCAAGGGCGCACCAUCGACCGAUCCUGAAGUUUACGGAAGGAUUUGAGUAAGAGCAUGGCUGUUGGGACCCGAAAGAUGGUGAACUAUGCUUGAAUAGGGUGAAGCCAGAGGAAACUCUGGUGGAGGCUCGCAGCGGUUCUGACGUGCAAAUCGAUCGUCAAAUUUGGGCAUAGGGGCGAAAGACUAAUCGAACUAUCUAGUAGCUGGUUCCUGCCGAAG